GCCCCCAUAGUCUAGCGGCCCAGGACGCCACCCUUUCAAGGUGGAGAUCGCGGGUUCGAAUCCCGCUGGGGGCACCA
This 77-nucleotide transfer RNA is filed under the name Chloroflexi bacterium RBG_16_64_32. RNAcentral describes it as "tRNA-Glu". It matches the Rfam family "tRNA". From Rfam's summary of the family: Transfer RNA (tRNA) molecules are approximately 80 nucleotides in length. Their secondary structure includes four short double-helical elements and three loops (D, anti-codon, and T loops). Further hydrogen bonds mediate the characteristic L-shaped molecular structure. tRNAs have two regions of fundamental functional importance: the anti-codon, which is responsible for specific mRNA codon recognition, and the 3' end, to which the tRNAs corresponding amino acid is attached (by aminoacyl-tRNA synthetases). tRNAs cope with the degeneracy of the genetic code in two manners: having more than one tRNA (with a specific anti-codon) for a particular amino acid; and 'wobble' base-pairing, i.e. permitting non-standard base-pairing at the 3rd anti-codon position. RNAcentral also lists the same sequence under 1 other name. Lineage: Bacteria; Bacillati; Chloroflexota. The record is from RNAcentral.